UCAUGGGGAUGUUUAGCUAUAGUUUGACAUGGUACUGAUAAUGCCAAGGUUGCAGGUUCGAUCCCUGUAUUGGACUGCUGUGAA
This is a non-coding RNA of Podarcis lilfordi (Lilford's wall lizard), 84 nucleotides long. NCBI's taxonomy places the organism in Eukaryota, Metazoa, Chordata, Lepidosauria, Squamata, Lacertidae. The record is from the annotation of a GenBank genome assembly.